This is a non-coding RNA of Populus trichocarpa (black cottonwood), 156 nucleotides long. Lineage: Eukaryota; Viridiplantae; Streptophyta; Magnoliopsida; Malpighiales; Salicaceae. The record is from Rfam.
UUUAUAACUCCAGAUAUGGGCUGAACACUAAACAAUGUCUAGGCUGCAUGAUAGAUUUAGAUUUCUCUUUUAUUGCUAAAAUUUGAGCUUGAAAACGGUAGUUUUGAAUCUUGGACUCUUCAUGAAUGUUUUAGGCCUAUAUCUUAGCUUUCCAUC